Molecule: long non-coding RNA, 312 nt
Organism: Onychomys torridus (southern grasshopper mouse)
Lineage: Eukaryota; Metazoa; Chordata; Mammalia; Rodentia; Cricetidae
Exons: 3
Source: RefSeq, a predicted model, not a curated record
CAUGUAUUCAGGUGAGAGACAAGAGAAGAAUGAGUCAGCAGCUCCUGUGUUCAUCUCCAAGACUUGAAGAUAUAUAUCAUCUGUAAGGAAGCUUAUCCAAUUCCCACAUCAGUAUAUGGCAGCUACUGGCAGAGUCAAGGUCCUUUCUUCCACCUUGGGUGGACUCAGACACUUUUUGUGGCAUUUCUAUACGACAACGUACAUGGAAAUAUCAGCAAGCUAACUGCUCUGAAUUAUGAAGAUCGUGGAAAUAUUAUUAGAAUUUACAAGUGAAAAUAUGACACCCUGCAUCAACAUCCACUCCUGGCACUC